AACGAACGCUGGCGGCGUGCUUAACACAUGCAAGUCGAGCGAGAAAGGGGGAGCAAUCCCCUGAGUACAGCGGCGCACGGGUGAGUAACGCGUGGGUAAUCUGCCCCCCAGCCCGGGAUAACACCUCGAAAGAGGUGCUAAUACCGGAUGGCAUCGGCCUGGCGCAUGCCGGGCUGAUCGAAGGCGGCCUCUGCUUGCAAGCUGUCACUGGGGGAUGAGCCUGCGUCCGAUUAGCUAGUUGGGCGGGGUGACCGGCCCACCAAGGCGACGAUCGGUAGCCGGCCUGAGAGGGUGACCGGCCACACUGGGACUGAGACACGGCCCA
RNAcentral lists this ribosomal RNA (325 nucleotides) under uncultured bacterium. Its description in RNAcentral is "bacterial SSU rRNA". It matches the Rfam family "Bacterial small subunit ribosomal RNA", at positions 28 to 333 of the family's 1533-position model. The record is from RNAcentral.